Molecule: ribosomal RNA, 243 nt
Filed under: uncultured bacterium
Lineage: Bacteria
Description: partial 16S ribosomal RNA
Rfam family: Bacterial small subunit ribosomal RNA
Source: RNAcentral
GAUCAUGGCUCAGGAUGAACGCUAGCGGCAGGCCCAACACAUGCAAGUCGAGGGGCAUCACGAGGUAGCAAUACUUUGGUGGCGACCGGCGCACGGGUGCGUAACGCGUAUGUAACCUACCUAUAACAGGGGCAUAACACUGAGAAAUUGGUACUAAUUCCCCAUAAUAUUCGGGGAGGCAUCUCUCCGGGUUGAAAACUCCGGUGGUUAUAGAUGGACAUGCGUUGUAUUAGCUAGUUGGUG